Molecule: ribosomal RNA, 899 nt
Filed under: uncultured bacterium
Lineage: Bacteria
Description: bacterial SSU rRNA
Rfam family: Bacterial small subunit ribosomal RNA
Source: RNAcentral
AGAGUUUGAUCCUGGCUCAGGAUGAACGCUGGCGGCGUGCCUAAUACAUGCAAGUCGAACGAGGUGCUUUUGUAGCAAUACGAGAGUAUCCUAGUGGCGAACGGGUGAGUAACGCGUUGGUGACCUACCCCAAAGUGUGGGAUAACAGUCCGAAAGGAUUGCUAAUACCGCAUGUGGUUAUUGGAUUUAGAAACCGAUAACUAAAGGAGCAAUUCGCUUUGGGAGGGACCUGCGUCCCAUCAGCUAGUUGGUGAGGUAAUGGCUCACCAAGGCGACGACGGGUAGGGGACCUGAGAGGGUGACCCCCCACAAUGGAACUGAAACACGGUCCAUACACCUACGGGUGGCAGCAGUAGGGAAUAUUGCCCAAUGGACGAAAGUCUGAGGCAGCAACGCCGCGUGUGUGAUGAAGGCCUUCGGGUCGUAAAGCACUUUUCUGGGAGAUGAGAAAGGACAGUAUCCCAGGAAUAAGUCUCGGCUAACUACGUGCCAGCAGCCGCGGUAAAACGUAGGAGGCGAGCGUUAUCCGGAUUCACUGGGCGUAAAGCGCGUGCAGGUGGCGCGGUAAGUUAGGCGUGAAAUCUCCCGGCUCAACUGGGAGAGGUCGUCUAAUACUACCGUGCUUGAGAGCAGAAGAGGAAGAUGGAAUUCCCGGUGUAGUGGUGAAAUGCGUAGAUAUCGGGAGGAACACCAGUGGCGAAGGCGAUCUUCUGGUCUGUUUCUGACACUCAGACGCGACAGCUAGGGUAGUAAACGGGAUUAGAGACCCCGGUAAUCCUAGCCGUAAACGAUGUGAACUUGGCGUUGGUGGGUUAAACUCCAUCAGUGCCGUAGCAAACGCGAUAAGUUCACCGCCUGGGGACUACGGCCGCAAGGUUAAAACUCAAAGGAAUUGACGG